GCUUUUUGUUAAAAGUAGAAAGUAGGGUCUGCCCGGUGAAAAUUUUUAACGGCCGCAAUAUUUGUGCGAAGGUAGCAUAAUCAUUUGUCUUUUAAUUGAUGACUGGAAUGAAUGGCUGGACGGGGAUAAGCUGUCUUAAUUAUAUAUAUUUGAAAUUUACUUUUAAGUAAAAAGGCUUAAAUAUUUUAGAGGGACGAGAAGACCCUAUUGAGUUUAAUAGAGGUACCUUAAUUUUUCUAAAAUUUUGGAGUAACUAUUUAAUUGGGGAGAUUUAAUAAUAUUAACUAUAUAAGAAUUAAUAGACAUUAAGUUUUUAGGAUCCAUAUUUUAUGAGUGUUAGGGUAAAUUACCUUAGGGAUAACAGCGUAAUAUUUUUUUGGAGUUCAAAUCGACUAAAAUGUUUACGACCUCGAUGUUGGAUUAAAGAACCUAAUUGGAGAAGAUUUUAGUUUAGGUAGUCUGUUCGACUAUUAAAUCUUUACA
RNAcentral lists this ribosomal RNA (483 nucleotides) under Nymphon brevicaudatum. RNAcentral's name for it is "partial 16S ribosomal RNA". It matches the Rfam family "Bacterial large subunit ribosomal RNA", at positions 1816 to 2600 of the family's 2925-position model. Lineage: Eukaryota; Metazoa; Arthropoda; Pycnogonida; Pantopoda; Nymphonidae. The record is from RNAcentral.